This is a non-coding RNA of Callithrix jacchus (white-tufted-ear marmoset), 5890 nucleotides long. NCBI's taxonomy places the organism in Eukaryota, Metazoa, Chordata, Mammalia, Primates, Cebidae. The record is from RefSeq and is a predicted model, not a curated record.
UCGAAGGCGAAGCGCGGGGACUGCGUUGGCGCGGGCGGGCGAGCUGAGAAACGGCUGCCCCAAGGGCAGACCCCGGGGCUGCCAGUUUGAGGGACGCCCAGUCUAUAGUCUACUUCCUUUUUUAAGAACCAGGAUCAAGAGACGCGAAGAGCCGGUCAGGUUGGAGUGCAAUGGUGCAAUCUCGGCCCACUGCAACCUCUGUCUCCUGGGUUCAAGCAAUUCUCCUGCCUCAGCCUCCUGAGCAGCUGGGACUACAGGUCUCUUUCAUAAAGAAAACCUCCCACAUGAAAAAAGGCUUUUUGGAUAAAGUUUCUUUUUUUAGGCUGACAUAUCUGGUAUAAGUCGGCAGGAUUCAGAGUGAUCCUCACACUAGCACCCAGAGUUUUCUCUCAGACUCAGCUCUUCAUACCAGCAACAGAAUGGGUCCUCAGCUCCAGCAGACCCCAGGGUGCAAAGGGCGAGACCUUCUCAAUCUGGACUGCCUAAGAUUUUGAGGUGAGGCCUAAGCUUUGCGUGGGCUGCUCUUUCCAAUGCUCCCUUUCUGGAAUGGAGGCUCUAUCUUUGCCUUGCAGGCAAGUGAUUCAGGUCUCAGUGAUUAAAAAGGAAAACUACCUUUUCCACCUUGGGGCAGGUACGUCAAGGUACUGGCAGUUUAGCACUGGUGAUUUCACUUUACAUGGCAUGCUUUUAAAACUGCAGCUGCUUUCUACUAUUUGUAAUUUGAACUUGAAAAAAAUUGUGACCAAUUCCUAUUAGUUUUAUACCAAAAGGUAUAUGAAGGUGAGUUCUCUCGCCCCAAAUUAGAUUUGAGAAUUUUUUUUAGAGCUGUCCUUUAACGCCCCCAGAAAAACUCUUUAAACAUCUAAACUGUCUGCAGACCUUUCUCAGUCCCUUGGAAAUGUAAAUCUCUCCAGGUCUUAGAAAUGUUAACAUGCAUGGUAUUAGCAAGGCAGCAUUCCAGCUGAGAGCAGGCUUGAUACACAGUUCAUGUUUGUUGGACAUACUACAACAUUUAUUUCCUCGGUGGAUACCUUUUGCUCAGGAAAGAAACAUUUAUAAGAAAUUAAUUUGAAUUACUUGUCUCGGAUACUCAAUAAUGCUAUCUACUAAAAGAAAUCAAAAUAUUCCUCUCUAAGUACUAGGGAUUGGGAGCUGAAGAAGGGGAACAUCCAGGGAGACGCUGCCCCUUCCCCUGCUUGCCUGAUGGCAGAAUGGCAACUGAGAAAGACAAAGGUUUUUCUGCCUGCCAUUCCCACCUAAAGAUAGGCUCCUUUAUAAGACUUGCUUAUGGGCGCAGAGACAGCAGUGCCAGGGAAUCUAGGUGCAGUCUUCAUUUAUGCCGUAAGUUUACCUUCCCACCUUUUCCUGCCUUUUGGCACCACCCCCACAGGCAGCUUUUGUUUUCCUGUCAUUUUCACUGUCUCUUUAAAGCCUCAGUCUGGACAUUGUAUCUAGACGGUCAGCUGAGAAACUGAGACCCUAGGGAAUAUGGCUGGCCAGGGCAGAUUGAGGCUUUAGCCCAUUUGUAGCUAGCAAAACCUUCCUUCUUUAGAGCUGUCUUUCUGGUGGCUCUGUGUUGUACCUCUUUGGAGAUACUUGACAAGUCUCUGGUUAAAUCAUAACCUUCAUUAAUGCCUGUUGGUUUUGGUCAGUCACUUGGAAAGGCACCUGUGGUUUAAGAGAAAAAUAAAAAUAAAAAAGUACAAAAGCAGGGAUAUUGGCUGAUUUGUCCUGGCUGAAAUCUCAUAAGAGAUUGAAAAGAUUUAAGAGCUCUAUAGUCAAAAGGUAACUUAGUAACUGAUAUUUGGAAUAUAUAUAGUAUACACACACACAUAUACAUAUACACUAUUUUUGAGUCCUCUGUUCUCUCCAUAAGUUUCUCAGGUGACUGAAUUUCUUUUCUUAAAGCCCUGCUAGCCACAUAUACUCCCUAGGUCUGCUUCUCUUCGAGGAUGUGAUUUUUGCCAAAGAUAAUGCAAAAUUCAUCGAUCUUUACAAGAGCUUAAAUUCUCUCUCUGCUUUGAAAUGUAAAUUUGUUACCUUGUUCUCUAAAAUUUUGUGAGGGCUUUAGACACAUGAAACAGAUAAACUUUAACUUUUUCCAUUUAUGAAGGCACAGUUUGAAUCCAACUGUCCUUUUGAUUAGUGAAUUCUGUCCGACUCAUGGCUAAAAUCUUAAAAUCAAAGCUAUGAAAUCUUUAUUUUUGUCUAUGUUUUUAUGUACAUGGCUGUGUUUGUAUAUUGUCUACAUGGUACCAAGUGACUGAUAGUAAAUCAGUUCUCAUAAAUUAAGUAAAUAAGCCCAAAUGCUUUUCAAGUUCAUGUGACUUAAGUAAUCUUUGAUUAAUAAGGCUAGUUCUAAGAUUGCUGGUAAAAUAAAAUAGAAAUAUUUUCAGAAUUUAGACAUUUUUGCCUGGGUGUACUAGUGAAAUAGGUUUAGGCUAUUUCUGCUAGGUGUUUAAGGUCAUCAGAUUGUUGCUUCUGUGAUACUGUUGAUACUUGCAUGAUUCUGGGGUAUAGACAAGUGGACACAGGAAGGCCUGGGGACAUGCGAUGCCUGAAGGACCCUGGCCAACAGCUGCGGGGAGGAGCUACACCACAUGCCUUCCCUGGCUCACUUGUGCCCCCUGAAAAUGCUGGGAGAGGUCGGUUCUCCAGGCAUUGCCUUCAUAACUGUCCUUUUUUCUGGGUUCUGUAUCAGGGUACAUAAUUAAAAUUGCUUACUUCCUAAGACUUUUCACAAAUAUUUGGGAUACUAAGAGUUAACACAAAUUAAUAUAUGUAAUUAAAUCUGCUAGAUAAAAGAGAAACAAUUCUGUGUGCAAAGAGCACAAGAAAAGUAAGAUGCAUUUUUGCUUUUUAAAAAGGUUAUGGGCCAGGUGUGUUGGCUCAUGCCUAUAAUCCCAACACUUUGGCAGGCAGAGGUGGGCGGAUCACUUGAGGUCAGGAGUUUGAGACCAGCCUGGCCAACAUAGUAAAACCUCAUCUCUACUAAAAAUAGAAAAAUUAGCCAGGCAUGGAGGUAGGCACCUGUGAUCUCAGCUAUUUGGAAGGCUGAGGCAGGAGAAUCACUUGAACCCAGGAGGCAGAGGUUGCAGUGAGCCAACACUGUGCCACUGCACUCCUGCCUGAGUUACUGAGCAGGACUCUGUCUCAAAAUAAAAUAAUAAAAAUAAAAAUUUAAAAAGGUUAUAAAAAAGACAUAAAAAUAUGUGUUUUUCUUGGCUGGGCACAGUGGCUCAUACCUGUAAUCCCAGCAUUUUGAGAGGUCAAGGUGGGUGGAGCACAUAAGGAUCAGGAGUUUGAGACUACCCUGACCAACAUGGUGAAAGCCCAUCUCUACCAAAAAUACAAAAAUUAGCCAGGCAUGGUGGCUUGCACCUGUAAUCUCAGCUACUCAGGAGGCUGAGACAGGAGAAUCACUUGAACCAGGAGGUGGAGGCUGCAGUGAGCCAAGAUUGCACCAUUGUAUCCAGCCUGGGCAACGACAGCAAAACUCCAUCUCAAAAAAAAAAAAAAAGAAAAAAAAAAAGAAAGAAAAAAGAAAAAAAGAGAAAAAACACGGCUUUUGUUAAAGGAACAACAAUUUUGCAAUUUAAAGGUUGUUUUAAAUUAAUGGAAUACAAAAAUGAUAGAUAAAACUUAAUGGGCAUAGGUUAAAAAAAUUUUAAAAUUAUAAAACAUUAUAAAAGGUUUAUAGAAACUUAUCUGUGCAAAGCUGAAUGAGUUGGAUGGAUCUGUUUAUAAGGUUUUAUUAAAAUUAAUAAAGGACACAAUAUUAAUAACAUAUAAAUACAGUGGUAAAAUUUGGUUCUCUCUUUUGAACAAGGUUUUCAUAUUGUAUUGAUAAUGGAUAAUAAAAGGUUUUUAUUUACCUUUUGAGUAAGCUGCAAUACAAAAAGGAGAGAGAGGAAGACAUACGGUGUCAUUAUUAGAUCUUUUCUUGAUUUGGAAAACUGGGUCUCCUCUUUUCUUUCCUUCUUUCUUUCUUAUUUAUUUAUUUAUUUUUGAGAUGGAGUCUUGCUCCGUUUCCCAGGCUGGAGUGCAAUGGCACCAUCUUGGCUUAUUGCAACCUCCACCUCCCGAGUUCAAGCAAUUCUACUGCCUCAGUUUCCCGAGUAGUGGGAUUACAGGCACCUGCUACCACCCUGGCUAAUUUUUGUAGUUUUAGUAGAGAAGGCAUUUCACCAUACUGGCCAGGCUGGUCUCGAACUCACCACCUCAGGCCUUCCUCGGCCCACCUCGGCCUUCCAAAGUGCUGGGAUUAUAGGUGUGAGCCACCAUGCCUGGCCAAGUCUCCUCUUAAUCAAAGAGCAAAUGUUUUUGCUUUUUGAAAUCUUUGAAAAACGACUUUGACUAAAUGAAUAUUAUUUUACUGUGAUCCCAUUUUGAAAUCAAGUGUUUCAAGCCUUCGACAUCUGACAAACUUCUUGAAAUGGAAUUUCAAAUUCUAAUUGAGUCUUUUUUCACACUGAACUAACUUCUGGAGAUUAGGCCUUCUGGAAACACAAAUAGGGACCCUCGAAGUCCAAGAGAGGCGUAUUAGGCAUAUUUGGUAUGUGAAAAUGAUAGUGGAAGAUGUUUAACUUUUUUUUUUCUUUGAGGGGACAGAGUCUUGCUCUUUCACCCAGGCUAGAGUGCAGUGGCACAAUCUUGGUUCACUGCAACCUUCACUUUCCAGGUUCAAGCAAUUUUUGUAUUUUAGUAGAGAAGGAGUUUCACCAUGUUGGCCAGACUGGUCUCAAACUCCUGACCUCAGGUGAUCCGCCUUCCUCAGCCUCCCAAAGUGCUGGGAUUACAGGCGUGAGCCACCGUGCCCUGCUAAGAUAUGGUGUUUAACUCUCUUCAAGCUAUUUUUGUAUAAAUAUGCUAUUAAUAUGCAUUCUAUAGUUGUAUAAGAUACUUAAAAAUUUGAUGUGUCUUGACAUAAACAGUGAAUUGCUUUAUUCUGAUGCUCUCUUUUCUUAAAAGUUCUUUGUAAAGCUAAAGCAUUGUGUCUUCAAGGAACCUUAUGGAGAAGAUAAUGAAAGCACUCUGAAUACAAGUUUCUGAUAAUUUGGAGAUCAUAUCAUUGAACAAGGCAAAAAAAAAAAUCCAGAAAUCUGAUGAGUUCAUAAAGAUUGCUAACGCAACCUCGAGCAGAAUAAAAGUUAAGUACAUGACACUGAAGUGACAGAGCACUGAAAUAAUUCUUGUGACUUGUUUUUGUUUGAAACACAGUAGAUUCUUUUCAUGUUUUAUUUUCUAGCAUCAAGAAAACUUUUUCUUUUGAGCUAUUUAUAGCUUAUAGCAAUUGGGUAAAGUAUACUAUUGUGGGCAAAGGGAGGCAUUUAUCUUUCAUUCUACUUGAUUUUUCCAAAAUUUAGAAACUAUUUUCAUUGUGUGGCAAUAUAGUUACUUGCAUAAGGUCAAUACAGGUCUGUGUUCUUUCGUAACAGAGGGUGCUGAAACCACUAGUUAUUUUACCAAACCUUUGACCGGAAUGACAGGUUUUCAGACAUGACCGGAUGGCUUUGAGGGACUGAAGUUGACUUUAUAGCCAAUGGACUUGGAAAAUGACUGGCCUGGUUCCUUGUCCACAUGGUUUCCUUACAAGGUUGCUGACCUUGUGGUUGACAAUGGUGAAAAACAGAAUCCGGCGACAGGACUGGAUCGCUGUCUGCGCCUUCACUGUUGUGUUGCCACGUGUGGUGUCUCCCCACCCCCUGAACUAUCAGAAGCCGAGUCAUGGUCCCCACGUCUCCAGCUCUUCAGAUGAAGUCUUGCUCUGCUGCCCAGGCUGGAGUACAGUGGCGUGAUCUCAGCUCACUGCAACCUCUGCCUCCUAGGUUCAAGCGAUUCUCCUGUCUCAGCCUCCUGAGCAGUUGGGAUUACAGGCACCCGCCACCAA